UGUGAACUCGAAGAGUAGGGCGGGACACGUGGUAUCCUGUCUGAAUAUGGGGGGACCAUCCUCCAAGGCUAAAUACUCCUGACUGACCGAUAGUGAACCAGUACCGUGAGGGAAAGGCGAAAAGAACCCCGGCGAGGGGAGUGAAAAAGAACCUGAAACCGUGUACGUACAAGCAGUGGGAGCCUCUUUAUGGGGUGACUGCGUACCUUUUGUAUAAUGGGUCAGCGACUUAUAUUCUGUAGCAAGGUUAACCGUAUAGGGGAGCCGAAGGGAAACCGAGUCUUAACUGGGCGUUAAGUUGCAGGGUAUAGACCCGAAACCCGGUGAUCUAGCCAUGGGCAGGUUGAAGGUUGGGUAACACUAACUGGAGGACCGAACCGACUAAUGUUGAAAAAUUAGCGGAUGACCUGUGGCUGGGGGUGAAAGGCCAAUCAAACCGGGAGAUAGCUGGUUCUCCCCGAAAGCUAUUUAGGUAGCGCCUCGUGAACUCAUCUUCGGGGGUAGAGCACUGUUUCGGCUAGGGGGCCAUCCCGGCUUACCAACCCGAUGCAAACUACGAAUACCGAAGAAUGUUAUCACGGGAGACACACGGCGGGUGCUAACGUCCGUCGUGAAGAGGGAAACAACCCAGACCGCCAGCUAAGGUCCCAAAGUCAUGGUUAAGUGGGAAACGAUGUGGGAAGGCACAGACAGCCAGGAUGUUGGCUUAGAAGCAGCCAUCAUUUAAAGAAAGCGUAAUAGCUCACUGGUCGAGUCGGCCUGCGCGGAAGAUGUAACGGGGCUAAACCAUGCACCGAAGCUGCGGCAGCGACGCUUAUGCGUUGUUGGGUAGGGGAGCGUUCUGUAAGCCGUUGAAGGUGGCCUGUGAGGGUUGCUGGAGGUAUCAGAAGUGCGAAUGCUGACAUAAGUAACGAUAAAGCGGGUGAAAAGCCCGCUCGCCGGAAGACCAAGGGUUCCUGUCCAACGUUAAUCGGGGCAGGGUGAGUCGACCCCUAAGGCGAGGCCGAAAGGCGUAGUCGAUGGGAAACAGGUUAAUAUUCCUGUACUUGGUGUUACUGCGAAGGGGGGACGGAGAAGGCUAUGUUAGCCGGGCGACGGUUGUCCCGGUUUAAGCAUGUAGGCGGAGGUUCCAGGUAAAUCCGGUACCUUUUAACGCUGAGGUGUGAUGACGAGGCACUACGGUGCUGAAGUAACAAAUGCCCUGCUUCCAGGAAAAGCCUCUAAGCAUCAGGUAACACGAAAUCGUACCCCAAACCGACACAGGUGGUCAGGUAGAGAAUACCAAGGCGCUUGAGAGAACUCGGGUGAAGGAACUAGGCAAAAUGGUGCCGUAACUUCGGGAGAAGGCACGCUGAUAUGUAGGUGAAGCCCCUGCGGGUGGAGCUGAAAUCAGUCGAAGAUACCAGCUGGCUGCAACUGUUUAUUAAAAACACAGCACUGUGCAAACACGAAAGUGGACGUAUACGGUGUGACGCCUGCCCGGUGCCGGAAGGUUAAUUGAUGGGGUUAGCGGCAACGCGAAGCUCUUGAUCGAAGCCCCGGUAAACGGCGGCCGUAACUAUAACGGUCCUAAGGUAGCGAAAUUCCUUGUCGGGUAAGUUCCGACCUGCACGAAUGGCGUAAUGAUGGCCAGGCUGUCUCCACCCGAGACUCAGUGAAAUUGAACUCGCUGUGAAGAUGCAGUGUACCCGCGGCAAGACGGAAAGACCCCGUGAACCUUUACUAUAGCUUGACACUGAACACUGGUCCUUGAUGUGUAGGAUAGGUGGGAGGCUUUGAAGCGUGGACGCCAGUCUGCGUGGAGCCAUCCUUGAAAUACCACCCUUUAAUGGCUGGUGUUCUAACGUAGACCCGUAAUCCGGGUUGCGGACAGUGUCUGGUGGGUAGUUUGACUGGGGCGGUCUCCUCCCAAAGAGUAACGGAGGAGCACGAAGGUUAGCUAAUCCUGGUCGGACAUCAGGAGGUUAGUGCAAUGGCAUAAGCUAGCUUGACUGCGAGAGUGACGGCUCGAGCAGGUGCGAAAGCAGGUCAUAGUGAUCCGGUGGUUCUGAAUGGAAGGGCCAUCGCUCAACGGAUAAAAGGUACUCCGGGGAUAACAGGCUGAUACCGCCCAAGAGUUCAUAUCGACGGCGGUGUUUGGCACCUCGAUGUCGGCUCAUCACAUCCUGGGGCUGAAGUAGGUCCCAAGGGUAUGGCUGUUCGCCAUUUAAAGUGGUACGCGAGCUGGGUUUAGAACGUCGUGAGACAGUUCGGUCCCUAUCUGCCGUGGGCGCUGGAGAAUUGAGGGGGGCUGCUCCUAGUACGAGAGGACCGGAGUGGACGCAUCACUGGUGUUCGGGUUGUCAUGCCAAUGGCACUGCCCGGUAGCUAAAUGCGGAAGAGAUAAGUGCUGAAAGCAUCUAAGCACGAAACUUGCCCCGAGAUGAGUUCUCCCUGAGACUUUAAGUCUCCUGAAGGAACGUUAAAGACGAUGACGUUGAUAGGUCGGGUGUGUAAGCGCAGCGAUGCGUUGAGCUAACCGAUACUAAUGAACCGUGAGGCUUAACCUUACAACGCCGAAGGUGUUU
Molecule: ribosomal RNA, 2567 nt
Filed under: Enterobacter cancerogenus
Lineage: Bacteria; Pseudomonadati; Pseudomonadota; Gammaproteobacteria; Enterobacterales; Enterobacteriaceae
Description: bacterial LSU rRNA
Rfam family: Bacterial large subunit ribosomal RNA
Source: RNAcentral